RNAcentral lists this ribosomal RNA (440 nucleotides) under uncultured bacterium. Its description in RNAcentral is "partial 16S ribosomal RNA". It matches the Rfam family "Bacterial small subunit ribosomal RNA", at positions 338 to 795 of the family's 1533-position model. The record is from RNAcentral.
CCUACGGGUGGCAGCAGUGGGGAAUAUUGCACAAUGGGGGAAACCCUGAUGCAGCGACGCCGCGUGAGUGAAGAAGUAUUUAGGUAUGUAAAGCUCUGUCAGCAGGGAAGAAAAUGACGGUACCUGACCAAGAAGCCACGGCCAACUACGUGCCAGCAGCCGCGGUAAUACGUAGGGGGCAAGCGUUAUCCGGAUUUACUGGGUGUAAAGGGAGCGUAGACGGCAGGGAAAGUCAGGAGUGAAAGGCGGGGGCUCAACCCCCGGACUGCUCUGGAAACUGCCAGGCUGGAGUGCAGGAGAGGUAGGUGGAAUUCCUAGUGUAGCGGUGAAAUGCGUAGAUAUUAGGAGGAACACCAGUGGCGAAGGCGGCUUACUGGACUGUAACUGACGUUGAGGCUCGAAAGCGUGGGGAGCAAACAGGAUUAGAUACCCUUGUAGUC